RNAcentral lists this ribosomal RNA (449 nucleotides) under uncultured bacterium. Its description in RNAcentral is "partial 16S ribosomal RNA". It matches the Rfam family "Bacterial small subunit ribosomal RNA", at positions 29 to 523 of the family's 1533-position model. The record is from RNAcentral.
AACGAACGCUGGCGGCAGGCUUAACACAUGCAAGUCGAACGCAUCCUUCGGGGUGAGUGGCAGACGGGUGAGUAACGCGUGGGAACGUGCCCUUCAGUUCGGGAUAACCCAGGGAAACUUGGGCCAAUACCGGAUACGAGCGAAUGCAGAAAGAUGUAUCGCGGAAGGAACGGCCCGCGUCUGAUUAGCUAGUUGGUGGGGUAAUGGCCCACCAAGGCGACGAUCAGUAGCUGGUCUGAGAGGAUGAGCAGCCACAUUGGGACUGAGACACGGCCCAAACUCAUACGGGAGGCAGCAGUGGGGAAUAUUGGACAAUGGGCGCAAGCCUGAUCCAGCCAUGCCGCGUGAGUGAUGAAGGCCUUAGGGUUGUAAAGCUCUUUCGUCCGGGACGAUAAUGACGGUACCGGAAGAAGAAGCCCCGGCUAACUUCGUGCCAGCAGCCGCGGUAA